Molecule: ribosomal RNA, 260 nt
Filed under: uncultured bacterium
Lineage: Bacteria
Description: partial 16S ribosomal RNA
Rfam family: Bacterial small subunit ribosomal RNA
Source: RNAcentral
UACGGAGGGAGCUAGCGUUGUUCGGAAUUACUGGGCGUAAAGCGCACGUAGGCGGCUUUUUAAGUCAGGGGUGAAAUCCCGGGGCUCAACCCCCGGAACUGCCCUUGAAACUGGAGAGCUAGAAUCUUGGAGAGGCGAGUGGAAUUCCGAGUGUAGAGGUGAAAUUCGUAGAUAUUCGGAAGAACACCAGUGGCGAAGGCGACUCGCUGGACAAGUAUUGACGCUGAGGUGCGAAAGCGUGGGGAGCAAACAGGGAUUAA